UGGGGAAUAUUGGACAAUGGGGGCAACCCUGAUCCAGCGAUGCCGCGUGGGUGAAGAAGGCCUUCGGGUUGUAAAGCCCUUUAGGUUGGGAAGAAGGAUGUUCGUAUAAUACACGAACAUUUUGACGGUACCGACAGAAUAAGCACCGGCAAACUCUGUGCCAGCAGCCGCGGUAAUACAGAGGGUGCGAGCGUUAAUCGAAGUUACUGGGCGUAAAGGGCGCGUAGGCGGUGAUGUGAGUGUGAUGUGAAAGCCCUGGGCUUAACCUAGGAAGUGCAUUGCAAACGACAUCACUGGAGUAUAAGAGAGGGUGGCGGAAUUUCCGGUGUAGCGGUGAAAUGCGUAGAGAUCGGAAGGAACGUCAAUGGCGAAGGCAGCCACCUGGCUUAAUACUGACGCUGAGGCGCGAAAGCGUGGGGAGCGAACAGG
This 429-nucleotide ribosomal RNA is filed under the name uncultured bacterium. RNAcentral's name for it is "bacterial SSU rRNA". It matches the Rfam family "Bacterial small subunit ribosomal RNA", at positions 355 to 776 of the family's 1533-position model. The record is from RNAcentral.